Molecule: long non-coding RNA, 7300 nt
Filed under: Homo sapiens (human)
Lineage: Eukaryota; Metazoa; Chordata; Mammalia; Primates; Hominidae
Description: HSALNT0116163
Source: RNAcentral
CCAGGCUGGAGUGUAAUGGUGCAAUCUCGGGUCACUGCAACUUCAAGCGAUUCUCCUGCCUCAGCCUCCUGAGUAGCUGGGAUUACAGGCAUGUGCCAUUAUGCCCAGCUAAUUUUUGUACUUUUAGUAGAGACGCAGUUUCACCAUGUUGGCCAGGCUGGCCUUGAACUCCUGACCUCAAGUGAUGCAUCCACCUUGGCCUCCCAAAGGGCUGAAAUUACAGGUGUGAGCCACCUCGCACGGCCAGUUCCCUAUUUUUAUCAGUGCACUUUACCAUUUAUCUACUCAAUUCCUCACCCAUAUGCAAGGCUGCCCUUUUCUGAAGGAUGCUAGUGGUGAAUCCAUUGAAAAAUCCACUGAUUGUGUUCCCCUAGGGCCUCUUCAAGAUGGAAAGAUUCAGGUGGGGCACGGUGGCUCACACCUGUAAUCUCAGCACUUUGGGAGGCCGAGGUGGGCGGAUCACCUGAGGUCAGGAGUUCAAGACCAGCCUGGCCAACAUGACAAAAUCCGUCUCUACUAAAAAUACAAAAAUUAGCCGGGGUGGUGGCUUGUGCCUGUAAUCCCAGCUACUCAGGAGGCUGAGGGAGGAGAAUCGCUUGAACUCAGGAGGCAGAGGUUGCAGUGAGCCAAGAUUGUGCCACUACACACCAUCCUGGGUGACAGAGUGAGACUCUGUCUCAAAAAAAAAAAGCCAGGUGCAGUGGCUCACGCCUGUAAUCCUAGCACUUUGGAGACCGAGGCAGGUGGAUUGCCUGAGCUCAGGAGUUUGAGACCAGCCUGGCCAACAUGGUGAAACCCCGUCUCUACUAAAAUACAAAAAAAUUAGCUGGGCGUGGCAGCAUGUACCUGUAGUCCCAGCUACUCAGGAGGCUCAGGAAGGAGAAUUGCUAGAACCUGGGAGGUGGAGGUUGCACUGAGCCAAGAUUGCACCGCUGUACUCCAGCCUGGGUGACAGAGUGAGACUCUAUCUGGAAAAAAAAAAAAAAAAAAAAAAAAGAUUCUACAGUGAGCACAAAGGUGAAACUCACCUUGAAUGCUUUUACCAAUUGAGUGUGGAUGAACUAAUUCAGAGUAUUGCGGGCCCCUGCUGCAGCAAACACAGAGCUCCCAAAAUGCUCAGGCUAUUGGGAGGCAACUGCCUUGUCAGGGUGGCCAAUGGUUUCCCCAUUGCCAAAUCGGACAGUUAACUCCAGUCCUUGUCUGACUGGAGGCCUGCAGAUCACUGCCUCCUCUGUAACGCUCUUUACCCCCAACCCAGGGAUCCAAGAUGCCCUACUCUAGGAUCAUUUUCUCUGCCUCAUUCAUCACUCAGACUCCUUCAUUUGUUCCUUCUCUUCUCCCUCCUCUGAGUGCUGCAGAGCCCGGGUUUCCAUCCUCAGACCCCUGCCCUGCCUGCUCUCUGUCCCAAGGCAGCACUGCCAGCAUCCGAAAUAAAAAUCCAGCCCUCCUAUUCAUAGUGACAUCGAAUUUCAGAUCAACGACAAAGAGUUUUAUGGCAUAAGCAUGUCCCAAAUAUUGCAUGGCCCCAAAUAUUUACUUAGUUAAUAAGUAAAAAUUGCACAAGACAUACUUAUGCUAAAGAGUAUUGACUAUUUGUCUGAGUCCAAAUGUCUCUGGGCAUGCUGGGUUUCAUCAGGUAAUCCUGCCAUGAUUUCAGUUUCAAGGUGAUACCAUCUAUGGUGACUCUUCUGAAAAUGUUUAUCUCUAGCCUAGGUCUCUCUCCUGAACUGCAGACUCCUGCUGCCUCCAGCACAUCGCCACUUGGGUAAUGAAUAGGUGUCUCAACCUGAACAUGUCAAAAACAACACUCAUUUUUCCCCCCAAUUCCUUGCCGUUCUCACAGGUAGUCUCGUCCCCCCAGCUGCUCACCCACAAGCCUUGCACUCAGCCUUGACUCUGUUCUUCUCACACCCCAUAUCCAGUCUGCCAGGAGGUCCUUGGUCCUCCUGGGCUACACUAAUAGUGCCUCUUGCUGGUCACUGCAACCACCUCCCAUUCCUUUCCCUGCAUUGUCCUGUGCCUCACAUGGUUUUUUUCUCAACAUGCCAGCCAGAAUGACUCUUUGAAAACUUUCUCAUGCCAUGUCACUUUUCAGCCCAUCGCCCUGCAGCAGGUCCCCAUGUUACUCAGUGUAAAAGCCCAAGGUCCUUGCCCCAUCCUGCAAAGCCCCUGUGACUCUGUGGUCUCUGGAACCUUAACUCUUCCACUCUUCCUCCAGACCACUCCCUCUCCCGCAGCCUCCUGGGUGCUCCCACCAGCCAGCAUGCUCCUGCUGCGGAGCUGUGGCCCUGGCUCCUUCCUUCCUCCCGGAAUGCUCUUGGCUCCGGUGUGCAUCAUGGAGAUAGCUCCUGUCUGCCCCCAAAUCGCUGCUCAAACCUCACCUCAGUGAGGCCGGCGCUGACCUCAUCACUGACCUAUUCACCUUCCAAACUGCUCACCUCCCAGGACUCUGAUACUCCUUCCCAACUCUUUUUCAUUCUUCCAUAAAUAACAAUGUCUAACUUAUUAGGCAAUUUCUUCAUUAUAAUUGUCCUUUGUUUUCAGUCUCUUCUCACUAGAAAGGAAAGUCCAUAAUGCCCAGAAUCUUUGUUGGGUUCCCUGAAGAAUGCCAGGCUCCCGGAAGAGGGCCUGCCUCCCAGCAGGCACAUGUGUGUGGAAUGAAUGAAUGAAUGAAUGAAUGAGGCUUGUGCAAACUAACUGCUUGCAGGAAACACCUGCUCCUUCCUGGGCACUGGGUGAAAUCUUUCGUAGAAGUUAACCAUUGACUCUUCUCCCCACCAGCCUCCUCCGUCCCUCACAGUUAAAUGCAGCUGGAAGAGGGGUUGCCCUGUACCUCCAGCUAGGUGGACUCCCCAGGAAAGAGUGACAUCUCACCACUGAGCCACCUCAGCCUUUUCCAGAGACAAGCCUUCUCUAGGCCAAUCAUCAGUGUCACAGCUAUUUGUUCUUGGGAUUUGUGGCUCUAUAUUCACAUGUAAGAAGCCAAGGCACCCAUGGGGAGCCACAGGCACCAACAGAAUACACUGAAAUCAAUCUUGCUGCGACUGGGGCUACAAGCAUGGUUACUUGGCUCACCACAGGGUCUUACUUUGUCACCUAGGCUGGAGUGCUGUGGCAUGAACACAGCUCACUGCAGCCCCGACCUCCAGGGCUCAGGUAUCCUCCUGCCUCGGUCCCCCAAGUAGCUGGGACUACAGGUGUGCACCACCAUGGUUGGCUAAUUUUUGUGUUUUCUGUAAAGACAGGGUUUUGCCAUGUUGCCCAGGCUGGUACAAAUAUAGCUUUAGUUUUCUGUUUGUAAAAGUAAUGCAUGCUUACGAAAAUUGUUCUUAAAAAAAUCACAUAGGCCGGGCGCGGUGGCUCACGCCUGUAAUCCCAGCACUUUGGGAGGCCGAGGAGGGCGGAUCACGAGGUCAGGAGAUCGAGACUAUCCUGGCUAACACGGUGAAACCCCGUCUCUACUAAAAAUACAAAAAAUUAGCCGGGCGUGGUGGCGGGCGCCUGUAGUCCCAGCUACUGGGGAGGCUGCGGCGGGAGAAUGGCGUGAACCCAGGAGGUGGAGCUUGCAGUGAGCCGAGAUCGCGCCACUGCACUCCAGCCUGGGCGACAGCGAGACUCCGUCUCAAAAAAAAAAAAAAAAAAAAAAAAAAUCACAUACCAUGCAAUGACAGUAAAAAUCAUCCCAAGUUUCAUACCACUUGAACUAAUGUGCUCUAUUGUCACUUGGCUAUGAAGAAUACAAGUGCUAGGUUUCAGUAUUGGCAUCGUAUUACCUUGUCUUUUAAAAUCAGGUUGUGAAACUGGUAUCUUUUUCAAUUUGUUGCCAAUCAGUUAUGCGUUAAUUGAUUUGAAUUCAGUUCCUUCUGUUGUGGUAGAUUUGCUUCUGUAUCGUAUGAUUUCAAGUUGCUCAUUGCCUGAAUUCAGGACAGGGUAGUGGGUGGCUUUCUGGGGCCAUCUCAGGCGGGCUGAAUUGACCUGAAGAUGGCAAUAAGAGAAAAAAGCCAAGUAAAUAUCAAGAACAAUUUUUAGCAUAAAAUUCAGUGUUAAGAUUCAUUGAGAGCUAAUCAAUAGAAACGAAGGUUCUGUAAAUACAUCCAUCUUAUGGGAAUAACUUAGGUCAUAACCAUUGUUGGCAAAGGAGGAAAUUUUUCUUAGUUCCUCUGCACUUUCCCCAAUGAUAUUAAUGUUACACCUCUUUGAUCGUACUUGAAAUGAUUGUAAUAAUAACGAGAGCCGUAAGAGUUUGUUGGUCAUAAAAACAUACAACAUUUUAAGAACUUUAUUGGGUUUUUAUUGACAUAUAUAACUAUUAAAUAUAAGAUUAUAGACCCCAAAUAUCAAAUUAACUUUAGCAUUUACAAUUUUCCUUUGUCUCCUCUAAGCAGCCACAAUUUCCAAUGUAGCACAUAAUGAGGUCAUCAUAGUUGCAAAUCUAUAUCUUCAUAUUGUAUAACUUGAGAACAUUUUUAAACUCAGUGUAUAGGUUUGUGUGGAUGUUGUAUCAAUGUUCACAACACGAGGCAAGUGGAAAUAAAGCAAAAAUACUGUUAAUGUGUAAUAACAUUGUGCUAACAGAAUGGGCAAUUUGUAACAAUGCCAUCAGUGACUCCACUAUCUAGCACAACAGUUAAUACAUAGUGUGUAAGUUCACAUUUCAGAUAAGUGAUAGUUAUCAUUUUAAGUACCAAAACUUAGGUUUAAAGAAGUUUCUGAGAUAUGCAGAAUUCUACCUCUCACUGGGCUUUGAAAAUAUGUUACUCCUCAGGACUCACCGUGUCGUAAGCAUCACUGAUUAUUGUUUAUGUCUGUUCUAAAUUGCAGAAACAGUUUCAGAAACCUAGGUUAUUUGGUUUUUAGUCCUAAUCUUGUUACUGUAAAAGUCACACGUGUUCAUCCAUUGUAGAAAGUUCUCCAAAGUGCAAUCACAUAUAAAGAAGCAAAUAAAAAUCAUCCUCAAUCUCACUCUCCAGAAGUAAUGAUUAUUAACAGUUUCAUGAUCUUCAUCACACUGCAUUAAGUUUCCCAGAGCUGCCAUCACAAAUUAGCACAAACUGUGUGACUUAAAACAACAGAAAUUUAUUCUCUUACAGUUCACGAGGCCAGGAAUCUAAAAUUAAGGCAUCAGCAGGGUUGGGUCCUUCUGGAGGCUCUCAGAGAGUCUGUUCCAUGCGUCUCUCCUGGUUUCUGGUGUUUGCCAGCAAUCUUUGAUUCAUAGACACAUCAUUCCCAUCUCUACCUCCGCCAUCACAUGGCCUUAUUCUAUGUGUGUGUCUUUCUGCAUCCUCUCCUCUUUUUAUAAGGACACCAGGUAUUGGGUCUAUAGCCCAUCCUAAUCCAGAAUGACUUCGUCUCAGCUGAUUAACAUCUGCAAAGACUCUGUUUCUAAACAAAUUCAUAUUGUGAGGUUCUGGGUGAACAUGAAUUUGUGGGGGACACUGGGGGACACUUAUUCAACCCACUACACACACUGUAAUAUAUAUUUAUAGAAUCACGAAAACGGGACCAUAAUUUAUAUAAAGCUUAGUUCCCUUUACACUUAAGAUACCAUGAAUUUCCCUAGGUCUUUCAAACACAGAAUUUUAAUUUUUUGUAGAGUGUUUCAUCAUAUGAAGAUUACAUCAUUUCCAUAGCUAACCUGCUACUUCAAACACUCAGAUGGUUUCCAGACUUUACUAUUAUAAAUGGCUCUGAUGAAUAUACAUGUUCCCAAAUCUUUGAAUUUAUCUCUGCUUAUGUCCUUGGUAUAAAUUAUUCUGAGUCGAAUUAUUGGAUUAAGGGGUAUGAACAUUUUAAAGGCUCAUGAAAAAUCUUCUUUAAUUGAAUUCCAGAGAUUGUAUCAAUUUGCCAUCACCAGCAGAAGAGAGAACCCAUGGCAUUGCAUUCUCUGCACUGCACGUUCUAGCUUUUUGAGUGUUGGACAAGUGACUAGGCAAAGAAAUAACAUCCUUACUUUGUGACUUGUAUUUUUAUGUAAGGUUGCCUCUUUGUUUACGGACCACUUAUAUAUCUUUUUUAGGUUACCAAUUUAUGAUUUGUGUCUCCUUUUCAAUUUUUUUCUCCUCUCUCCAACUGCCAGUAUUUAUUUCUUACCAUCUCACGGAUGAGUAUACUGUCCACCUCCACCCCUUUUAGAGUCCACUGUUAGCUAAGAAACUAUGUAGAUGUAUCCUCCCUCUCCUUUUCCCAUUCUCGAACCACCUCUGAAUCUUGUACAAAUGUCAAUCAUUGCCUCCAUUGUGUCUUAACUGUUUACAUUUCGCUUUCCCUUCUAAGACUUUGAGCACUUUGGGGCCAUUUCCAUGUCUUAUCUGUGUUUUUGUAUCUUCAGCAACUAACAUGGAUGCUCAAUAAACAUACAUUGAACUGAGUUGUUACGUUGUGACCUGGAAAUAUUCACAAUUCCUUGUAUAGAUAGAAAUAGCUAAAUAAGGGCACAUAAGGAUAGACUCUAAAUGGCACUCAAUAAUGUGCAUAGGGCUGGGCGUGGUGACUCCCUGCCUGUAAUCACAGCACUUUGGGAGGUGGAGGUGGAUCACCUGAGGUCAGGAGUUAGAGACCAGCCUGGGCAACAUGGUGAAACUUCGUCUCAACCAAAAACACAAAAAAUCAGCUGGGUGUGGUAGUGUAUGUCUGUAAUCCCAGCUAUUUGGGAGGCUGCAGCACGAGAAUUGCUUGAACACAGGAGGUGGAGGUUGCAGUGAGCUGAGAUCGUAUCAUUGCACUCCAGCCUGGGCAACAGAGCAAGACUCUGUCUCAAAAAAAAAAGCAUAGGAUUUAAUCCAUGAAUUUUGAAUUUCUAUGUUAAAUUUUUAGAAAUAGUAACUUUUUCUCCCAUAUUUCUCAGCUAUAUCUGAGAUAACUGGGACUGAGCAACAUUGUCUAGACAGGCAAAGUGUUAGCAAUAAUAAGUAUAAUAAUAAUUGUAAUGUAAUAAUGGAAUGAGGAUGUUAAAGUACUGAGAUCAGGAUAAAAGUUACAAUUGUCCAAAUUUUAAAUUUCCUAUCAUUUCCACUGAAAUCACUGACUGUACUUAUAACAUUAUCAGGAAUUUAUGCAAUUUGUAGGUUUUGAAAUAAAUUACCAUUCAGAAUUCAACCGUGAAAAACAGUGUAACUCUACUUGAAAAACACUUUGAAAAACUCAAGUUUCCACCAAAUCUAGAAGCACAUGGGUCGUAAAACAUAGUUCGAAAAGUUACGAGAGAUGAUGACUACAAGGAACUUUUUAUAAAAAUCUUUUAUAAGCAUUACUCUGUGGUCAAAUUUAUUUUCACAUGGAUAUUAAAACAAGUUAUUGCUAC